This 256-nucleotide ribosomal RNA is filed under the name uncultured bacterium. Its description in RNAcentral is "partial 16S ribosomal RNA". It matches the Rfam family "Bacterial small subunit ribosomal RNA", at positions 524 to 776 of the family's 1533-position model. The record is from RNAcentral.
UACAGAGGGUGCAAGCGUUUAAUCGAAGUUACUGGGCGUAAAGGGCGCGUAGGCGGUCAUGCAAGUGAGAUGUGAAAUCCCCCGGGCUUAACCUGGGAACUGCAUUUUUAGACUGUGUGACUGGAGUACUGUAGAGGAUAGUGGAAUUUCCGGUGUAGCGGUGAAAUGCGUAGAGAUCGGAAGGAACACCAGUGGCGAAGGCGACUGUCUGGACAGAUACUGACGCUGAGGCGCGAAAGCGUGGGGAGCAAACAGG